Molecule: long non-coding RNA, 1639 nt
Organism: Magnolia sinica
Lineage: Eukaryota; Viridiplantae; Streptophyta; Magnoliopsida; Magnoliales; Magnoliaceae
Exons: 2
Source: RefSeq, a predicted model, not a curated record
CUUGGACCUUGGCUCGGGAGGUAAUUAUACGCUACAUCACCCGCAUCUUUGCAUACUGUACACCCGCUUUCACAUAUGAUAAUUGGGUACACCAUUCAUCUGUCAUGUCAUAUCGUGGAUGGACUACAUAUCAACAAGACAAUCUUUAAUGUUUUAGAUUUUUGGCCCACAGAUAGACGGUUGAGAAGCCUGAUAACCCAACGGUUCAUAUUUAAAUGGAAAGUAAACUAACAUUGGUUAAUGAAAUUUCCAAUAUCUGACAUUAUUUAAUACCCUUCCAUCCACGGUGGGAUAUAAGAGAUCAAUGGUCACGAUCAACAAUCCAUUGGGCCCAGUUUCUAAAAUUAAAAACACGUGUGUACUGUGCAGAGAUGCUGGCCCUGUAUUGUAUAGUUCCUGUUUUCUGCUCGGUCGGCCUUUUGUUUUCUACACUUGUUCUGUCUAUUUUCAACGAGAGAGAGAGAGAGAGAGAGAGAGAGAGAGUUUUCUUCAUUCCUUCUACAUUUCAGCUCUUUCUUUGAAUUUCCGAGCAUUUUGGCGCGAAAUUCGAACUAUGCAGCUAAGGCGACUUGAGUUCUCAAGUAGUUCACGGGGAUUCCCGCCGCAGGAUCUUCAGAAGACGUAUGCUCUCCGUUCCUGAGGAAAUGCUCGCUUUCUUUAAGAAUUCUCAGAUCCGUCGGACGUAGAUAUCUGAUUUCGGAAAUAAGAAGGUUUCAUUAGAGAUUCAAGCUCUUGCUCUGUUCUAGAGAAAAAUCCGAUCGAAAUCCGAGAUUUCACGCUUCGCUGGAAGCUUCUUCGACACGGAAGCUGCUACAGCUUCGAUUUCCCUACUGCAAGGAAUUUCUUGGCAGCGUCUCCGUGUCGAGAAUAAAGGAACGCGGAUUGCAUCCUUACUCCGCCCGUCUCCAGCUGGGAACGGGCAGGGGCUAUCAGUGACUACCGUGAUGUAUGUGUCCUAUCCACACCGUCCAUCUAUUUUUUCGUAUUAUUUUAGGAUAUAAUCCCAAAACUUAAGUAGAUCCAAGACAGAUGUGGAUUACACAAUGGGGAUUAAACUCUUACCGUUGAAAACUACUUGCGGGUCAAAGAAGUUCUGGUACACUUGAUCCUUGGAUCUGCCUCAUUUUUGGGCUAAUACCCUAAAAUGAUAGGAAAAAAAUGAAUGAACGGUGUGGAUAAUACCCAUACAUCACGGUGGCCACUCAAAGCUACUGCCCGUUCCCAGUUGGAGACGGGCUGGGGUAGGACGCAAUCCGCGAACAGAAUAAAGAGGGAUGAUCCGAUGCAGCGGCUGUACCAUGCGUCAUGAUACAGCUAUUUCUUUCCCUCCAACAUCUGUAGAGCACCAUGACUUUACUCGGUGUGAAGAUCAGCCCAACCAUUCAUCCAUUAGGACAUAGCAUCAAAAUCAACGGUAGCUAACGGUUGGACUCAUUGUCCUCAUGUGGCCCACUUUAUUAGUGAAUCGUCCUGAUUUUCAUGCGAAGUGAUGUUCAUAGUGUGGCCCGUCUUUUGGUCAUAUUGGAUAUUCUACAUACAUGAUAUGUUGACGGGAAAAGGUAGCUGUAUCAUAACUUAUGAUACAGCUGCUGUAUCGGACCCUUUAUCCGGGUAAAUCGAUUUCUUUCUGUUUCUCGGA